AAACUUUCAACAACGGAUCUCUUGGCUCUGGCAUCGAUGAAGAACGCAGCGAAAUGCGAUAAGUAAUGUGAAUUGCAGAAUCCAGUGAAUCAUCGAAUCUUUGAACGCACAUUGCGCCCGCCAGCAUUCUGGCGGGCAUGCCUGUCCGAGCGUCAUUU
Molecule: ribosomal RNA, 158 nt
Filed under: Cladorrhinum coprophilum
Lineage: Eukaryota; Fungi; Ascomycota; Sordariomycetes; Sordariales; Podosporaceae
Description: Cercophora coprophila 5.8S ribosomal RNA
Rfam family: 5.8S ribosomal RNA
About the family: 5.8S ribosomal RNA (5.8S rRNA) is a component of the large subunit of the eukaryotic ribosome. It is transcribed by RNA polymerase I as part of the 45S precursor that also contains 18S and 28S rRNA.
Source: RNAcentral